UACGUAGGGUGCAAGCGUUAAUCGGAAUUACUGGGCGUAAAGCGUGCGCAGGCGGUUGCACAAGACAGAGGUGAAAAUCCCCGGGCUCAACCUGGGAACUGCAUUUGUGACUGCAUCGCUGGAGUGCGGCAGAGGGGGAUGGAAUUCCGCGUGUAGCAGUGAAAUGCGUAGAUAUGCGGAGGAACACCGAUGGCGAAGGCGGCUCGCUGGGCUCUACCUGACGCUGAGGCGCGAAAGCGUGGGGAGCGAACCGG
Molecule: ribosomal RNA, 254 nt
Filed under: uncultured bacterium
Lineage: Bacteria
Description: partial 16S ribosomal RNA
Rfam family: Bacterial small subunit ribosomal RNA
Source: RNAcentral